Molecule: ribosomal RNA, 1429 nt
Filed under: Scinax arduous
Lineage: Eukaryota; Metazoa; Chordata; Amphibia; Anura; Hylidae
Description: partial 16S large subunit ribosomal RNA
Rfam family: Bacterial large subunit ribosomal RNA
Source: RNAcentral
GCUCAAAAUCUAGCCCCACCCAUACUAUAAACCCCUUCACUCACCCAAUUAAUUAAAACAUUUUUAAAGUUAAGUAAAGGAGAUUAAAAAACUCAAUGGAGCAACAAAAAUUGUACCGCAAGGGAAAGAUGAAAUAGAAAUGAAACAAAACUCAAGCACAAAAAAGUAGAGAUUCCCCUCGUACCUUUUGCAUCAUGGUUUAACUAGUCUAAUCAAGCAAAAAGCACUUUAGUUUGACCCCCCGAAACUAAGCGAGCUACUUCAGGGCAGCUUUAUGAGCAAACCCGUCUCUGUUGCAAAAGAGUGGGAAGACCCUCAAGUAGGGGUGAUAGACCUAACGAGCUUAGUGAUAGCUGGUUUCUCAAGAAAAGGAUUUUAGUCCAACCUAAAGCUCCCCACAUCUAUAAAAAUACCCUUUUACAGCUUUAGAGCAAUUCAAAUAAGGUACAGCCUGUUUGAAAUAGGAUACAACCUCAACUGGCGGGUAACAAACCCCUAAUUACAGCCAAGUGGGCCUAAAAGCAGCCACCUUUAUAAUAGCGUUAAAGCUUACCUGUACUACCCAACUAAUCCCUUAAAUCUCCUUCAACCCCCUAUUAGUAUUGAGUAAUUCUAUUCACUUAUAGAACCUAUAAUGUUAGAACUAGUAACAAGAAGUUAACCUUCUCCUUAAUGUAAGUGUAAGCCAGGAAGGACCGCCCACUGGUAAUUAACGCCUAUGAAACCACAUUAGUAACUCUACAAGAAAACCCUAAUGCCCCCUAACGUUGAUCUAACACAAGAGCAUUUCAAGAAAGAUUUAAAGAAAAAGAAGGAACUCGGCAAACCACUAACCCCGCCUGUUUACCAAAAACAUCGCCUCUUGCAUAAGAUAAGAGGUCCAGCCUGCCCAGUGACCCCCCAGUUUAACGGCCGCGGUAUCCUAACCGUGCGAAGGUAGCGUAAUCAUUUGUUCUUUAAAUCAGGACCAGUAUGAAUGGCAUCACGAGGGUUACACUGUCUCCUUUUUCUAAUCAGUGAAACUAAUCUCCCCGUGAAGAAGCGAGGAUGAAGUUAUAAGACGAGAAGACCCUAUGGAGCUUCAAAUUUUUAUUUCAACUGCUGCACCCAUACUAAAGUCCCGACUUCUCAUAACUAACUCAGCACCAUGAAAUUAAAUUUUAGGUUGGGGUGACCGCGGAGAAUAAAAGAACCUCCACAUUGAACUAGGCCUAUAGCCUUGAGCCAAGAGCUACGACUCCACGCACUAAAACAUUAACAUCCAUUGACCCAAUUACUUGAUCAACGAACCAAGUUACCCUAGGGAUAACAGCGCAAUCUACUUUAAGAGCCCCUAUCGACAAGUGGGUUUACGACCUCGAUGUUGGAUCAGGGUAUCCCAGUGGUGCAGCCGCUACUAAAGGUUCGUUUGUUCAACGAUUAAAACCCU